RNAcentral lists this non-coding RNA (24 nucleotides) under Arabidopsis thaliana (thale cress). The record is from RNAcentral. Lineage: Eukaryota; Viridiplantae; Streptophyta; Magnoliopsida; Brassicales; Brassicaceae.
AGAUGAUGGGCCUUAUAAUGGGCA